Molecule: long non-coding RNA, 501 nt
Filed under: Nicotiana benthamiana
Lineage: Eukaryota; Viridiplantae; Streptophyta; Magnoliopsida; Solanales; Solanaceae
Description: long non-coding RNA (NBEN_LNC011985)
Source: RNAcentral
UAUUGCAGCUAGGAGACCUUCCGAGAGUCCCAUGAAAGAACCUCAUCAUCCAGAACUAUGCUAGACCUAAAGCUGUGUUCAAUUUAUGGUUAGUGCUACAUGGCAGAUUACCAACCAAGGACAGAUCCAUGGAAGAACCUAAUCAUCCAGAACUAUGCUAGACCUAACGCUGUGUUCAAUUUAUGGCUAGUGCUACAAGGCAAUUACCAACCAAGGACAGACUAGCAAACUGGAGAAUGAAUAUAGACCAGCAAUGUGCUUUGUGCCACAGUCAUACAGAGACAAUAGAUCAUCUAUUUCUAUCAUGCCCAUUUUCAACAGAGCUAUCGGAGCAAGCAAUGCAGUGGAUUAAAGAGGAUCAACCAAAGACAUAUACCUGGGAUCAAAGACUCUAGUGGUUCAUCAGUAAAGAUAAAGGGAAAUCAUGUCGAGUCGUAUAUUAAAAAUGGUGAUUGCUGAAGUAACAUAUGCUCUAUGGCUAGAAAGGAAUUCACGUAUAUU